GAGGAGGUCACCUCACACUUGUACUGAAAUGAUUAAAGCAGGUUAAGAAGGGGGCUGCUAGGAAAGUCAGCAGUGAGUCUGUGGAAGAAGGGAAGAGUAUUUGGGAAUACAGUGCCAGGAAGCCCACAGAUACUGCCUUGGAAAGUGUCUGGCAAUCUCAGAUGGGGGCUGAGGGGAGAAUGCGAGAUGAUAAGGAAGAGUUCAGAGAAAGGAAGUAAUAUCUAAAAGGAAAUAGAUCAUGACUGCUAACUAGAGUGUCCCCAAGCCAGUGGCACUUAAAGGAAAGACUGCCUUAGACUGCCAGGGAGAAAGACAUUGAUGCCCUAGAAGUGACCUGGCUGGAGGGCAUGAAGUGGCAGCAUUGGCAGCAGCAGCAGCAGCAGCAACUCGUAAAGCCAGAGAGGUGCUGAAGGCUAGUAUACAGAGAUGGAGUGAUGUUGUGGAACUGCAGAAAGGGGCAUUGGCCUGGGAAGCUAUUCCUCACAGUGACCAGAAGAAGGAGAAAUUCUAGGAAAGCAUGAAGGCCCCCAUCAUAUAUGUACUUAAUUUUUUGGCUGUUAAUUUUUAUGUCUUUUGUUAGUUGCUCUUCAAAUUCUUCUCUCUUCUUUUGGCCUGACUAAUUAUACUUUUUACAAUCCACUUGCCAAUGUUUAUAUUCCUUUCUAUUUUCCUCAGUAGGAUUUGACUUCCAAUUUUUGAAAGAUGUAUUGUUGGCUCUGUCUGCCUUUUUUUCUCUGUUUAGCUAUGGCAGCAUUUUAUUGGUCCUCAUACUUCUUUAUUUUAUGCUUUGAUAUAUACUUUUAGUUUAGGCUCUGUUAUAGCAGUUUUUAAAUAAUUUUCAUGCAACUUGGAUGCAUUUCACUCUUUUGACUGUAACUUCUAAUUUCUAUUUAACUAGCCUACUUAUUUUUAUAGUUUCCACUUAUAAAGUUAAAAGAUGCUAUGCUGAGUUUCAUUUGUGUUUUCUCUCUAUAAGAAUAAAUGUAAUUACACUAUUCUUUCUGUUACCAAAUGGUAUAGUUAUAUUUUCUCUUGGACCAGAUCUUGUGCUCUCAGUAUCUGAUUAAAUCAAGAAUUGGCUCACCCCUUGUUGUUCCAAAACUAACUGCCACAAGAAGGAGUCACUAAUAGUGUCCAGAAAUUGUCUUUAUCCCAUUCUGAUGUGAUGUUUAUAGAGUUAAUAUGGGGAUAAUUGAAAUCUCCCAUUAUUAUUGGGUCUUCUGUUUCACAAACAUCAUCAGUGUUCUUUUCAGGUGGUUGGUGAUAUACUCUUAUUAUUCAGGCAUGGCAUUUCUAUCCAUAGAGAUUCUAUUAUAUUCUUUGAUUAAUUUAGGAAUUUUGGUAUCUGUAAGGAAUGUAAUUUUUAGAUUAUUAUUAUUGUUAUUACUAUUACAUUUAAGUACUAUUUGUAUUAAUUUCUCUUUAGAAAUCAAGAUGUUGUAAUUAGCAUGUAUGAUUUAUAGCUUCUGGGACAGGUGAUGGAGGUGGCCAGCAAUUGUGAAGACUGUACAAAGAAAAAAGACUGACAUAUAAAAGAGUUUUCUGGAGUUUGUAAAGACUCACAUGAGAAUUUACUAGGAGUAUGUGAAGCUCACUUAAUUUCAUCAGUUUUUACCUUAAUCAAAUUUUAAAAACAGUGAAUGAGUGUAUUUUAUGUAACAAAUGCAGGGCUACAGGUAUCUCAAAGCAGUUGUCAUGCAUCUGGAGAGGAAGAAGGGCAAAGUUAACUAGCUCUCUGAACCAGGAGACUACUGGAGACAGACUGGAUACUCUGGCAUCAGCCAGAGCAUCUGCAGGACAGCAGUGGAGCAAAGUGACUUACAAACCUGAGGAUCUGGAUUGCAGUUCCCAAUAUUGUAGUUCAGCUCUUUACUCUACAUGCAGUACUGAAAAUUUAAUCAUCCUUAUCAUAAUAUUUUCUGUUCAGAAUUUUGUACCAGAGCCCAUUUACAUCAGUUCAAACAUUGCCUUUUAUUCAUGGAAACAGAAUAGUAUUUCCACAAUCGGUAAAAGCAAUGCAGCAUUGUUUGUGGGCUGUGACUAAUUAUACAUGUCUAGUUUUAUGUUUCAGAGCUAGUGUUUACAGACAUAUAAAUAGUUUCAAAUGUUGCAUUGGUUCAGUACCUGAAUAAAAGAUGGAAUACUGAUGUGUCAGAUUUUUUCCACAACUUAUUAAAAAGAAAACUAAAAGGUAUGCUUUGUUGUAGAAAGAUGGGAUCAAAUGUAACCUACUAAAAUGCAUAGAGAAAAGUUCUUUGAUGAGUAAAUGCUUGAUGUGAAAAUGUUUUCCUUGACUAUGGACUAUAGAGAAAUUGGAUAUAGUUUCUCUAAAGACAGAAGACAAUUAAUGUAAAUAUGCUGUUAUUGUCCAAAUGUGGAUUUGGGGUGAGGGGAGGCAGAACUUUUGCUUUUAUAAAUAAACAUGGAUAGAAUGGUGUUGAUCUACACAAACUGUGGAUCUGGCCUUUUAUGUCUUCAUCUAAAUUUGAUAAAAAUCUAUAAGAUCAAUACAAGCCAGAAUAUUCUUCAGCUUCUGGACUGAUUUUGGCUACUUUGCACAGGCAUAAAUGUUAAGAGAUGGCUUCUGUGGUGGAUGAUUUUCCAGAGGCUAGAAUUUACUAUGGUGCAAUGGCCACACUCUCCCUUGCAUAGAAGGCAGAGAGACAGAAAGCUAGUCUAGCCCACCUUACCCCUAGACAAAGGGAAGCCAUUGGGGUAGUACGAAGGAAUAAUGGUCAUUUUGUUAUACUUUGGGUUUGGUUUCAAUUUUAAAAGAUGAAUGGCCCAGGCACUGACUUGUUUUUCUUGGUGGGUGCUCCACUCCUACUCUGUCCAUGGCCUUGUUUGCAUUUGGCAUCUUCACUCAAGGCUUUGCCUGUUCUACCCCUGUUCCAGCCCCAUUUCUGAGCUCCAACCACAGCCAUUUGUUCUCUCAAUUGACUCCUGUCAGCCACUCCUGGAUCCAUUACGAAUCUCUGUGGCCCCAAAACAAUGGAUCCAUAGCCAGCCCAGAGGCCACUGGUAAUUUCUGUAUCAUGUUGCUUGGGGGAAGGGGAAAGAAUUCAGGGAAGAGUCAGAGCAGGGAUGGUGCUUGGAGAAGAGGUGGAUGGGGUUGGAACAGGAUGGAACAUAGGUGGAGCAAGGCCUCUGGUGGGGGGUUGCCCUGGGCCCUGCACUCGCGGUACAGGGCGGAGGAGGGUCAGUUGACCCAGGCCUUGUGCCCCUCGGGGGACAGCCCUUAUUACCAUCAUAUUAACAAUACAUUCCUACGUCCUAAAGUAUAUUUUCAAGUACUAGAUUCAGUCCAGUUUUUAAAUGACUCAGGUGAUAAGCAUUCCUUCAGAAACAAUCUUAUAAGCUAAUCAAGUUCUCUUUGAUCAAGACUCUUAACCAUUUUAGUGAAAAUUGCAUCCUGGUAAAAUUGUAGUCAGCUUUCCAUCUGUGACUACCUCAUCACUUUCAUAGAAUUAUGAGAGCAACCUUCUGCAAGGUUAAAGAUUUCAAUUAACAAUUUGAGAAUGAUACUAAAAUAUGAAUUAUAGCUGAGCAUUUGAUGAAAAUUAACACUUGCUCUGUUAUGAGCUGUGAUGCAUGGAUAUGUAGAAAAUGAGAGAUUGUUCCUAAUUGAUCAUGGGCAAUGCUACUUUCACAAUGGACCAUUUGGCAUUUAAAAUGCUUCCUCUGGUUGCAGAAGAGAUUUCUCUAUCAACAGACUUGGAGCAGAAUUUGAUAGACUUUGGACCUCCUCCAAACAUUUUCCAUUUAUUUGGUUCCAGCCCAGUAGGGGGUGAGAAUCUCCCGUGAGGUAAAAAGCACCCCAAGUGAAUGGCGUCAAUUGGAUCUCAGUACAGCCAGUAGCUCAGAUAAGUAGCACUUGCAAGGUUGUAUCCAAAAAACACACUGACUUGUUGGAAUUAACUGGAGUUCAUAAGGAGCACAGCAUCUGUUACAAUUUGGUUAAUAGGAAGGGCCAAAUAGAUGUAUUCUUGAUUUAGUUAGAUUUAAUCCUGUAGAUAGGUUUGGGUGGUGCUAUGCUAUUUAUUGCUGUAGCUCUUUUUUUAACUCUCAUUUUUUAUUUUUUAACCCAUGAAAAAUGAAGAGAGAGACACUCGAUGGAGUACAGAAGUCCUGAAUAGGCUGAUCAUAUUAAAAUCUUCAGAUUUGUUUUGCACUAUUUCCUUGUAAAAAUGCUUAAAAUAUAAGCAUAGUCCACUUCUAUACCACUGGGCCAGACAGUGCUCCUCUUGUUCUAGUUGUGUAAGUGCUCACCAUCAUGAGCAAGGAUUGCUCAAUCAGUGAAUGAUGUAUGCAAGAGCAAUCAAUAGGAGUUGCUAACAUCAACAAUCUGCCUGUAGGUGGAUCUAUAUGAGCGAAGAAAAAGACACUUUCAGAACAAUAUGGAUGCUUUUCAGUCAGCAUAUGCCAAAG
Pelodiscus sinensis (Chinese soft-shelled turtle) is the source of this 4428-nucleotide non-coding RNA. Lineage: Eukaryota; Metazoa; Chordata; Testudines; Trionychidae. The record is from RefSeq and is a predicted model, not a curated record.